RNAcentral lists this non-coding RNA (48 nucleotides) under Trichobilharzia regenti. Lineage: Eukaryota; Metazoa; Platyhelminthes; Trematoda; Strigeidida; Schistosomatidae. The record is from RNAcentral.
AUCCAGCUGACAAGUCCCAAAUAGGACGAAAUUCGCGUUAUCCUGGAU